RNAcentral lists this ribosomal RNA (500 nucleotides) under uncultured bacterium. RNAcentral describes it as "partial 16S ribosomal RNA". It matches the Rfam family "Bacterial small subunit ribosomal RNA", at positions 30 to 523 of the family's 1533-position model. The record is from RNAcentral.
AUUGAACGCUGGCGGCAUGCUUUACACAUGCAAGUCGAACGGUAACAGGGUGCUUGCACCGCUGACGAGUGGCGAACGGGUGAGUAAUGCGUCGGAACGUGCCGAGUAGUGGGGGAUAACGCAGCGAAAGUUGUGCUAAUACCGCAUACGUACUGAGGUAGAAAGUGGGGGACCUUCGGGCCUCACGCUAUUCGAGCGGCCGACGUCUGAUUAGCUAGUAGGUGAGGUAAAGGCUCACCUAGGCGACGAUCAGUAGCGGGUCUGAGAGGAUGAUCCGCCACACUGGGACUGAGACACGGCCCAGACUCCUACGGGAGGCAGCAGUGGGGAAUCUUGGACAAUGGGCGAAAGCCUGAUCCAGCCAUGCCGCGUGUCUGAAGAAGGCCUUCGGGUUGUAAAGGACUUUUGUCAGGGAGGAAAUCCCUAGUGCUAAUAACACUGGGGGAUGACAGUACCUGAAGAAUAAGCACCGGCUAACUACGUGCCAGCAGCCGCUGUAA